RNAcentral lists this ribosomal RNA (497 nucleotides) under uncultured bacterium. RNAcentral's name for it is "partial 16S ribosomal RNA". It matches the Rfam family "Bacterial small subunit ribosomal RNA", at positions 28 to 507 of the family's 1533-position model. The record is from RNAcentral.
GAUGAACGUUGGCGGCGUGCCUAAUACAUGCAAGUCGAGCGAACAGACGAGGAGCUUGCUCCUCUGACGUUAGCGGCGGACGGUUGAGUAACACGUGGAUAACCUACCUAUAAGACUGGGAUAACUUCGGGAAACCGGAGCUAAUACCGGAUAAUAUAUUGAACCGCAUGGUUCAAUAGUGAAAGACGGUUUUGCUGUCACUUAUAGAUGGAUCCGCGCCGCAUUAGCUAGUUGGUAAGGUAACGGCUUACCAAGGCGACGAUGCGUAGCCGACCUGAGAGGGUGAUCGGCCACACUGGAACUGAGACACGGUCCAGACUCCUACGGGAGGCAGCAGUAGGGAAUCUUCCGCAAUGGGCGAAAGCCUGACGGAGCAACGCCGCGUGAGUGAUGAAGGUCUUCGGAUCGUAAAACUCUGUUAUUAGGGAAGAACAAAUGUGUAAGUAACUAUGCACGUCUUGACGGUACCUAAUCAGAAAGCAACGGCUAACUACGUG